Molecule: ribosomal RNA, 425 nt
Filed under: uncultured bacterium
Lineage: Bacteria
Description: partial 16S ribosomal RNA
Rfam family: Bacterial small subunit ribosomal RNA
Source: RNAcentral
GUGGGGAAUCUUGCGCAAUGGGCGAAAGCCUGACGCAGCCAUGCCGCGUGAAUGAUGAAGGUCUUAGGAUUGUAAAAUUCUUUCACCGGGGACGAUAAUGACGGUACCCGGAGAAGAAGCCCCGGCUAACUUCGUGCCAGCAGCCGCGGUAAUACGAAGGGGGCUAGCGUUGCUCGGAAUUACUGGGCGUAAAGGGCGCGUAGGCGGACAGUUUAGUCAGAGGUGAAAGCCCAGGGCUCAACCUUGGAAUUGCCUUUGAUACUGGCUGUCUUGAGUACGGGAGAGGUGAGCGGAACUCCGAGUGUAGAGGUGAAAUUCGUAGAUAUUCGGAAGAACACCAGUGGCGAAGGCGACUCACUGGCCCGUUACUGACGCUGAGGCGCGAAAGCGUGGGGAGCAAACAGGAUUAGAAACCCCUGUAGUCC